RNAcentral lists this transfer RNA (76 nucleotides) under Pseudomonadota bacterium. Its description in RNAcentral is "tRNA-Ala". It matches the Rfam family "tRNA". Rfam says of the family: Transfer RNA (tRNA) molecules are approximately 80 nucleotides in length. Their secondary structure includes four short double-helical elements and three loops (D, anti-codon, and T loops). Further hydrogen bonds mediate the characteristic L-shaped molecular structure. tRNAs have two regions of fundamental functional importance: the anti-codon, which is responsible for specific mRNA codon recognition, and the 3' end, to which the tRNAs corresponding amino acid is attached (by aminoacyl-tRNA synthetases). tRNAs cope with the degeneracy of the genetic code in two manners: having more than one tRNA (with a specific anti-codon) for a particular amino acid; and 'wobble' base-pairing, i.e. permitting non-standard base-pairing at the 3rd anti-codon position. The record is from RNAcentral. RNAcentral also lists the same sequence under 1 other name. Lineage: Bacteria; Pseudomonadati; Pseudomonadota.
GGGCCUAUGGCGCAAUUGGGAGCGCGCCUGCAUGGCAUGCAGGAGGUUACCGGUUCGAGUCCGGUUAGGUCCACCA